CUCCUACGGGAGGCAGCAGUCGAGGAUCAUUCGCAAUGGGGGAAACCCUGACGAUGCGACGCUGCGUGGAGGAUGACGGCCUUCGGGUUGUAAACUCCUGUCAUGAGGGAAGAGGAGAGUGUCACUAACAUUGACGCGAUUUGACGGUACCUCAAGAGGAAGCCACGGCUAACUCUGUGCCAGCAGCCGCGGUAAUACAGAGGUGGCGAGCGUUGUUCGGAUUUACUGGGCGUAAAGGGCGCGUAGGCGGCCGCGCGUGUGGGGUGUGAAAUCUCCGGGCUCAACCCGGAAAGUGCGCCCCAAACUGCGCGGCUGGAGUGCGGGAGGGGAGAUCGGAAUGCAGGGUGUAGCGGUGAAAUGCGUUGAUAUCCUGCAGAACACCGGUGGCGAAGGCGGAUCUCUGGAACGCAACUGACGCUGAGGCGCGAAAGCCGGGGGAGCAAACAGGAUUAGAUACCCUGGUAGUCCCGGCCUUAAACGGUGCACACUUGGGGGU
This 496-nucleotide ribosomal RNA is filed under the name uncultured bacterium. RNAcentral describes it as "bacterial SSU rRNA". It matches the Rfam family "Bacterial small subunit ribosomal RNA", at positions 336 to 824 of the family's 1533-position model. The record is from RNAcentral.